RNAcentral lists this non-coding RNA (30 nucleotides) under Mus musculus (house mouse). The record is from RNAcentral. Lineage: Eukaryota; Metazoa; Chordata; Mammalia; Rodentia; Muridae.
UNCGGCUUGUGCUUUAAGUUGCCUCACUGA